ACCUGCCUGGCUCAGUUGGUAGAGCAUGGGGUUCUUAAAUCUCAGGGUUGUGAGUUUGAGCCCCACGUUGGGUG
This 74-nucleotide transfer RNA is filed under the name Mustela putorius furo (domestic ferret). It matches the Rfam family "tRNA". From Rfam's summary of the family: Transfer RNA (tRNA) molecules are approximately 80 nucleotides in length. Their secondary structure includes four short double-helical elements and three loops (D, anti-codon, and T loops). The record is from Rfam by way of RNAcentral. Lineage: Eukaryota; Metazoa; Chordata; Mammalia; Carnivora; Mustelidae.